AGCUGGGAUUAGAUACCCCACUAUGANGAGNUCAAAAAGAAAGUNGAAGCACUAAAGCCCAANGGCUAAANUUUAAAGAGCANGGCGGCGGGCAAAAUUNUUCANGGGAACUUACCCGAUAAUUGAUAACCCACAAGAAGCGCUUCGAAUCCUUUAUAGUUUGUAUACCGCCGUCUUAAGGUGUCAUCUAAGAUAGCACCUAAUCCUUUUAGGAGGAAAAGACAGGUCAUGGUGCAGCUAAUGGAUUCGAGCAGGGCGAGUUACAGUUAGAGCUACUAUCAAACGUUGAGACUAAGUGCCCAACCGAAGCUGGACUUGAAAGUAACAGGCAAGAAAAUACCCUUUGAAUUACUUCUUUGCUCGUGCACACACCGCCCGUCACCCUC
This 386-nucleotide ribosomal RNA is filed under the name Ellobium chinense. RNAcentral's name for it is "partial 12S ribosomal RNA". Lineage: Eukaryota; Metazoa; Mollusca; Gastropoda; Ellobiida; Ellobiidae. The record is from RNAcentral.